RNAcentral lists this ribosomal RNA (430 nucleotides) under Pseudomonadota bacterium. RNAcentral's name for it is "Proteobacteria bacterium partial 16S ribosomal RNA". It matches the Rfam family "Bacterial small subunit ribosomal RNA", at positions 355 to 776 of the family's 1533-position model. Lineage: Bacteria; Pseudomonadati; Pseudomonadota. The record is from RNAcentral.
UGGGGAAUAUUGGACAAUGGGGGGAACCCUGAUCCAGCCAUGCCGCGUGUGUGAAGAAGGCCUUCUGGUUGUAAAGCACUUUAAGCGAGGAGGAGGGUACUGGUAUUAAUACUACCAGGUACUGGACGUUACUCGCAGAAUAAGCACCGUCUAACUCUGUGCCAGCAGCCGCGGUAAUCCAUAGGGUGCGAGCGUUAAUCGGAUUUACUGGGCGUAAAGCGUGCGUAGGCGGCUAAUUAAGUCGGAUGUGAAAUCCCCGAGCUUAACUUGGGAAUUGCAUUCGAUACUGGUGAGCUAGAGUGUGGGAGAGGAUGGUAGAAUUCCAGGUGUAGCGGUGAAAUGCGUAGAGAUCGGGAGGAAUACCGAUGGCGAAGGCAACCAUCUGGCCUAAUACUGACGCUGAGGUACGAAAGCAUGGGGAGCAAACAGG